RNAcentral lists this unclassified non-coding RNA (299 nucleotides) under uncultured fungus. RNAcentral's name for it is "partial contains 5.8S ribosomal RNA, internal transcribed spacer 2, and large subunit ribosomal RNA". The record is from RNAcentral. Lineage: Eukaryota; Fungi.
AACGCACCUUGCGCCCUUUGGUAUUCCGAAGGGCACGCCCGUUUGAGUGUCAUUGUAAUCUCACCUCUACGAUUUCUUGUCGUGGUCGUGGACUUGGAUGUCGUCGGCUCGUGUCGACCCGUCUGAAAUGUAUGAGUGUACCCUGCCGUGCAGCGUAUCUGGUGUGAUAAGCAUCUUCAUCAGAGUAAUGCCUCCUUUGGCGCGUCUGUGGUGUGGGCUCUGCGCUUCGAACCGUCUCUACAUGGGACAAUCUUUGACGAUUUGACCUCAGAUCGGGCGGGACUACCCGCUGAACUUAA